RNAcentral lists this long non-coding RNA (584 nucleotides) under Numida meleagris (helmeted guineafowl). RNAcentral describes it as "lncRNA (ENSNMEG00000014360.1)". Lineage: Eukaryota; Metazoa; Chordata; Aves; Galliformes; Numididae. The record is from RNAcentral.
AUGAAGAGGACCCAAUCUGAAAUCCUAGCAGGCUUGCAGAGACAGCAUGCCAGCUGCAAAUAUGCAGACUUUGGGCUGACAGCAUUGAAAAUAAUGGCCAUGGACAACAGCUAGGGUCCCAGUGACAAACAUGCAGACAGACUGCAGAAAAGAAUUGGUGCAGAUGAGAAAACUUAGUUAUCCUGUUGAUUGAUGAGUAUUAGAAAACUUGAAAUUGCAACAGUAAUUUUUGUAUCAUCACAAUACAUUAAAGCUCUCUGGGCUUUUCUUUACAGGUUUCAGUGGACAAGAUCUGUAAAAGGAAAAAGGAACACAAUUCACUAGAAAACAGUUAUUUAGGUACAAUAAUUUGUACUUUAUGUCAUAUUAUAAUGCUUGCCAGAGGAAGAGAGAGUGAAUGUGUAUCUUCAGUCUCUAACUUCUGUUAAUUGAGGCAUGUCAAUAACAUGAGAAACUGCAGCAAAAUCGGAAAUCCAAAGCAGUCAAGACUUUUCUUCAUGAUUACAUACUGCUGUGUGAAGAUACAAUGCUUUUUUCAGACAGAAAUUUGUAAGGAGAAGACUGAUUACACUACCUCUUGUUGA